Cygnus olor (mute swan) is the source of this 2497-nucleotide long non-coding RNA. RefSeq lists it as uncharacterized. NCBI's taxonomy places the organism in Eukaryota, Metazoa, Chordata, Aves, Anseriformes, Anatidae. The record is from RefSeq and is a predicted model, not a curated record. The transcript is spliced from 2 exons.
GCUGAUUGGUAGAGAGGGGGAGAGGUCGCGCGAGAGCUUCGCCUUUUCAUAGGUGUAACAGCUGUCAAUCAAAUCCGACAGCCAGAAGCGUGCCGCUCCAGCUAGCUUUGUCCCGCCCACCAGCGCUGUGCGGCAAUUCGUGGAGCGGACAGCGCUGCUGCGGCGCCAUCGAUAGAAUCACCCGUCAAUCCGCGGCCAGCGGGUUAACCCCGCCCACCCCCUGCCGCCAUUGGCCAGUCUCUCCGUGCUUUAAGAGGGGUAGGGCGGAAAGGGGAGCUUUUUCCGCUUCCGGUGCUGGCGGCGGGAGGGUCGCGAGUGGAUGUGGGGGCCGGGCAUGGCGGUGGUUGAGCUGCGGCCGGCUGAGCUGAGGGUGCUCAGGAGCACUGUGGGAGGCGUGCGGAGCUGCCCCCGUCAGCCGGGGGAGCGCCGACUUCGGGGCGCGUCGGGUAGCAGCUCAGUCUGCGAGGAGCUCCUGGGCAGGCCCUGAGGCCUUCCCUGGUUCUUCUCCGAGCGCUUGGAGAUGAGCACAGGAGAGUUCUGCAGCAGCGGUGUCCGGGCGAUAAUGAUUUAAAUUGCCUGCUGAGAAGAAAUAUUAAUGGGACUUCCAUGAGACUCCUGAUGUUUUGUUGAUGUUCCUGUUAGAAGACCUAUUAUCACCUCCUUUUGAAAACAGCAAUCAAAGUUGAUACUCAGACUGCAAGGCUUAAACAGGCAGUCACAAAUAAGAUUACUUCCAGGCAUUCUGCAGCUGAGCAAAAUGAGUUCUGAGUCAGUGGUUUUGAGGUUCUUCUGUAGUACACAAGCAGUUAGACAUCUAAGAAUAUUACAGUUUUUUCUUCCUUUUCAAAGCUGGAUACCUGUGUCUUCCUGACUUGUGGCAGAGGCUGGAAGUGAAGCCCCUUAUGUGUGAGAACAGUUGAGCUCUUAAGUGGUUUUAUCUUGUGAAGCUUCUUAAUUGGGGUGGUUUGAGCUCCUGUUCUGAAUGCCAGGUAAAUAAUUUGAGGCAUACAAUCAGGGCAAUAUCUGGUGGCAUUAACAUAUCCUAAACUUUGAGAGCAUUAGGAAUGCUUAAAAUGUACCUACAGUUCUGGCCUGCACAGUUAAAAUCUGUGUGGCAUGCUUAAAUUGUGAAUGCUGAAGAAGCAGCUGUGAACAGUUCCCAAUUAUUUGGGAGAUGUACUAGUUUGAAGACGUUGUGCAACAAGCAGCAGAACUGUUGAAAUGCUAUAUUUUUUUCUGGUAAAAACUCAAGUUUCAUGGGGAACUGACAUUUUAGAAUCUGAAGUGUAUCUAACUUUUUCUGGAUCUAGCCAGAAGACCUAUAAGCAAAUUUGUUUCUGAACUAGAUGAAUAAUUGAAUCACACUUACACAUUCAUAGGAUACUCCCAAGAGGGUGUUUGCAUUAGCUUUAAAAUUUAACAGUCCAUUUCAUAAUUGACAAAGGCAAAGGAUAUAUAUGAAAUUACGUAAGUCAGUUUUAACAGAUGGAUGAUCUAUGUGAUCUGAAUGAGUUGAUUUGGAUCAUGUAAGAAUGCCUUUGGCAGGGAGAAGUCGUGCUGGUAAUCAAAGCAAAAAUGUUUGAGCCCAGCAUUUAACAAGUAGAACAGAACGUUCAAUCUUGAAUGCAGACCUUGAAACUAGAUACUCUUUAUGAAGAUUUCAAGCUUGACUCAAUAACACUUCCCAAUAUAUGCCAGUUCCUGCUAAGUCUGCUUUUGGAAUUGAGCAAUAGAAAGAGACUUGGAUUCUAAUACAUGCAUCUCCUGUUCUUUGUGUUCACUUUUGACCAGUGUUGAAGAACAGGGUCCUGGGCCCUGAGCAUCAGGCCUAACUAUGUAUGGUAAUCUUUACAAAUUGUUAUGUACUUAAAAUGCUGGAAGUGGCUUCUGGUUUUUCAUAAGCAUGGGAAAACCCUAGGGCAUCUUUUGCCUGUAAGGAAUUCUUGUUCCCUAGUAAAGCCCUGGAGCAUGUUCAUGGCACAGUUACCAUGAUAGGAGUGCUUUUGUUGGCUUGGUUUGUUUUGAGAAUGUGCAGCUGCAGAGGCAAGAUCUCUAAUGUGCAUUUACUUGCUGUCCACGAGGGGGCUCUGGCAGGUCGGGGCUGAAUGCUCAAGGUCCCCAACGGAGUUACUUCACUAAAAUGGCAGGCUGUAGCAACUGGAUGCCUGUUGCCCCUGGGGUGAUUAAAUCUGUUCUGCAAAGUAAUUCUGUCUCAUUGCAAGAAAUACUACAUCUAUUGGAAAAACACUUCCUGAGCUUUAAUAACAGCAGUGGGUAAAUGAUCUUUUCCAUGGGAGAGGGCAGAUGCUACCCAACGUGUCAUUACAUGGGGAUUUCAGCUGUAUGAGAGAUUUCUCCAAAUAAAAAUUCAAGUGGUUUGCACACGUCAGCAUGUCUGUAAAGUACCUGGAAUUGUUACAGAGAACCUUAAGUAUGUUUUUAUCUUAGCAGUGUAAACUUAGUGCUGUGACAUUUCAAUAAAGAUUUGUGGCUUUUG